AUUGAACGCUGGCGGCAGGCCUAACACAUGCAAGUCGAACGAGUGGCGGACGGGUGAGUAAUGUCUGGGAAACUGCCUGAUGGAGGGGGAUAACUACUGGAAACGGUAGCUAAUACCGCAUACCCUCAGAUGUGCCCCGAUGGGAUUAGCUAGUUGGUGGGGUAACGGUUCACCACGGCGACGACCCCUAGCUGGUCUGAGAGGCUGACCAGCCACACUGGAACUGAGACACGGUCCAGACGCCUACGGUAGGGAGCAGUGGGGAAGAUUGGACAAUGGGCGCAAGCCUGAGGCAGACAUGCCGCGGGUAUGAAGAAGGCCUUCGGGUUGUAAAGUACUUUCAGCGGGGAGGCGUUACCCGCAGAAGAAGCACCGGCGAACUCCGUGCCAGCAGCCGCGGUAAUAC
Molecule: ribosomal RNA, 406 nt
Filed under: uncultured bacterium
Lineage: Bacteria
Description: partial 16S ribosomal RNA
Rfam family: Bacterial small subunit ribosomal RNA
Source: RNAcentral